CCUACAUGAAGUCGGAAUCGCUAGUAAUCGCGGAUCAGCAUGCCGCGGUGAAUACGUUCCCGGGCCUUGUACACACCGCCCGUCACACCAUGAGAGUUUGUAACACCCAAAGCCGGUGGGGUAACCUUUUGGAGCCAGCCGUCUAAGGUGGGACAGAUGAUUGGGGUGAAGUCGUAACAAGGUAUC
RNAcentral lists this ribosomal RNA (186 nucleotides) under uncultured bacterium. RNAcentral describes it as "partial 16S ribosomal RNA". It matches the Rfam family "Bacterial small subunit ribosomal RNA", at positions 1315 to 1500 of the family's 1533-position model. The record is from RNAcentral.